UAAUACGUAGGGGGCAAGCGUUGUCCGGAAUUAUUGGGCGUAAAGAGCGCGUAGGCGGUCCGAUAAGUCGGCUGUGAAAGUCAGGGGCUCAACCCUUGAAAGCCGGCCGAUACUGUCGGACUAGAGUCCGGAAGAGGCAAGUGGAAUUCCCGGUGUAGCGGUGAAAUGCGCAGAUAUCGGGAGGAACACCAAUGGCGAAGGCAGCUUGCUGGGACGGUACUGACGCUGAGGCGCGAAAGCAUGGGGAGCAAACAGGAUUAGAUACCCUGGUAGUCCACGCCGUAAACGAUGGGCACUAGGUGUGGGAGGUGUCGACUCCUCCCGUGCCGCAGCUAACGCAUUAAGUGCCCCGCCUGGGGGAGUACGGCCGCAAGGCUAAAACUCAAAGGANUUGACGGGGGCCCGCACAAGCAGCGGAGCAUGUGGUUUAAUUCGACGCAACGCGAAGAACCUUACCUGGGCUUGACAUGUUGGUCGUACCUGUGGAAACACAGGGUCAGUUUCGGCUGGAACAUCACAGGUGGUGCAUGGC
RNAcentral lists this ribosomal RNA (532 nucleotides) under uncultured bacterium. RNAcentral's name for it is "bacterial SSU rRNA". It matches the Rfam family "Bacterial small subunit ribosomal RNA", at positions 521 to 1049 of the family's 1533-position model. The record is from RNAcentral.